RNAcentral lists this ribosomal RNA (168 nucleotides) under uncultured bacterium. Its description in RNAcentral is "partial 16S ribosomal RNA". It matches the Rfam family "Bacterial small subunit ribosomal RNA", at positions 306 to 460 of the family's 1533-position model. The record is from RNAcentral.
CCCCUCGCCCGCCGCGCGGGGCGGGCGGGGGGGGGGCACGGGGGGCCUACGGGAGGCAGCAGUGAGGAAUAUUGCGCAAUGGGCGAAAGCCUGACGCAGCAACGCCGCGUGGAUGAUGAAGUUCUUCGGAAUGUAAAAUCCUUAUGCAGAGGAAGAAAAUGCUGGUCA